GAGAGAGCAAUAAUGGUGCACAAUAUGCUCUUAAACACUGAUGCAUAACACAUUGUGCUAGAGCCAAAAGGCACUGUACAAUAUCAUUAUGGUGCAGGGAGAAGUGGCAACUUUGGGAGAUGCUUUCGUAAAGAUCUGAAUACACAGGGAGAUCAGUUUUUUGGGAUCAGUGUCAUGGAGUAAGAAGACUUGCAGCUGGAAUGUCGAUUAACGCAAGUGUAACUGGUUCAGCAAUAAUACUGCAAACCUCUUUGAUACCCAGAAGCAAGAACUACUGCAAAUAAUAUAUUCCUUGCAAUUUUUUUUGCCAUGUGCAAAAAUCAGGAAAAGCAGCAUAAUCUCUGACUUGCCUCAGCAGUAAAUAUGUUUUCCCCAAAUCAGUACUCCUUGUGGCAUCGUCUCUGCAUUCCAUGUUGAUUUGUUCAGCUUACAGUGUUUGAAUUUCCUAAUAAUGACUGAAUAGCGGAUGAAUGUUUUUGAUAACUUGCUUGAGAGUUAUCUUGGUCAUGUUGGGUAGAAGGGUAACAACCUUCUGAGCUGCACAACUUCUGAGUUCUACACAACAAGAUUUAGGAUGAUGAUUGUGAUGGUGACUAUUUCUCAGCUAAUCUUUUAAAGC
Molecule: long non-coding RNA, 619 nt
Filed under: Gallus gallus (chicken)
Lineage: Eukaryota; Metazoa; Chordata; Aves; Galliformes; Phasianidae
Source: RNAcentral